AUACGGAGGCUGCAAGCGUUGUUCGGAAUCACUGGGCGUAAAGGGCGCGCAGGCGGUUUGGUAAGUCAGAUGUGAAAGCCCACGGCUCAACCGUGGAAGUGCAUUUGAAACUGCCAGACUUGAGUACCAGAGGGGAAAGUGGAAUUCCCGGUGUAGAGGUGAAAUUCGUAGAUAUCGGGAGGAAUACCGGUGGCGAAGGCGACUUUCUGGCUGGAUACUGACGCUGAGGCGCGAAAGCGUGGGGAGCAAACAGGAUUAGAAACCCUUGUAGUCC
RNAcentral lists this ribosomal RNA (274 nucleotides) under uncultured bacterium. Its description in RNAcentral is "partial 16S ribosomal RNA". It matches the Rfam family "Bacterial small subunit ribosomal RNA", at positions 523 to 796 of the family's 1533-position model. The record is from RNAcentral.